This 1168-nucleotide ribosomal RNA is filed under the name Escherichia coli. Its description in RNAcentral is "partial 23S ribosomal RNA". It matches the Rfam family "Bacterial large subunit ribosomal RNA", at positions 375 to 1549 of the family's 2925-position model. Lineage: Bacteria; Pseudomonadati; Pseudomonadota; Gammaproteobacteria; Enterobacterales; Enterobacteriaceae. The record is from RNAcentral.
GUACACAAAAAUGCACAUGCUGUGAGCUCGAUGAGUAGGGCGGGACACGUGGUAUCCUGUCUGAAUAUGGGGGGACCAUCCUCCAAGGCUAAAUACUCCUGACUGACCGAUAGUGAACCAGUACCGUGAGGGAAAGGCGAAAAGAACCCCGGCGAGGGGAGUGAAAAAGAACCUGAAACCGUGUACGUACAAGCAGUGGGAGCACGCUUAGGCGUGUGACUGCGUACCUUUUGUAUAAUGGGUCAGCGACUUAUAUUCUGUAGCAAGGUUAACCGAAUAGGGGAGCCGAAGGGAAACCGAGUCUUAACUGGGCGUUAAGUUGCAGGGUAUAGACCCGAAACCCGGUGAUCUAGCCAUGGGCAGGUUGAAGGUUGGGUAACACUAACUGGAGGACCGAACCGACUAAUGUUGAAAAAUUAGCGGAUGACUUGUGGCUGGGGGUGAAAGGCCAAUCAAACCGGGAGAUAGCUGGUUCUCCCCGAAAGCUAUUUAGGUAGCGCCUCGUGAAUUCAUCUCCGGGGGUAGAGCACUGUUUCGGCAAGGGGGUCAUCCCGACUUACCAACCCGAUGCAAACUGCGAAUACCGGAGAAUGUUAUCACGGGAGACACACGGCGGGUGCUAACGUCCGUCGUGAAGAGGGAAACAACCCAGACCGCCAGCUAAGGUCCCAAAGUCAUGGUUAAGUGGGAAACGAUGUGGGAAGGCCCAGACAGCCAGGAUGUUGGCUUAGAAGCAGCCAUCAUUUAAAGAAAGCGUAAUAGCUCACUGGUCGAGUCGGCCUGCGCGGAAGAUGUAACGGGGCUAAACCAUGCACCGAAGCUGCGGCAGCGACGCUUAUGCGUUGUUGGGUAGGGGAGCGUUCUGUAAGCCUGCGAAGGUGUGCUGUGAGGCAUGCUGGAGGUAUCAGAAGUGCGAAUGCUGACAUAAGUAACGAUAAAGCGGGUGAAAAGCCCGCUCGCCGGAAGACCAAGGGUUCCUGUCCAACGUUAAUCGGGGCAGGGUGAGUCGACCCCUAAGGCGAGGCCGAAAGGCGUAGUCGAUGGGAAACAGGUUAAUAUUCCUGUACUUGGUGUUACUGCGAAGGGGGGACGGAGAAGGCUAUGUUGGCCGGGCGACGGUUGUCCCGGUUUAAGCGUGUAGGCUGGUUUUCCAGGCAAAUCCGGAAAA